GCCGCACUGUCCUAACGUUGUUCGGAAUCACUGGGCUUCAAGGGCGCGUAGGCGGUCCGCCAAGUCGGGGGUGAAAUCCUGCAGCUUAACUGCAGAAGUGCCUUCGAUACUGUCGGUCUUGAGGGAGAUAGGGGUGUGCGGAACUUCCAGUGGAGCGGUGAAAUGCGUUGAUAUUGGAAGGAACGCCGGAGGCGAAAGCGGCGCACUGGAGCUCUACUGACGCUGAGGCGCGAAAGCGUGGGGAGCAAACAGG
Molecule: ribosomal RNA, 253 nt
Filed under: uncultured bacterium
Lineage: Bacteria
Description: partial 16S ribosomal RNA
Rfam family: Bacterial small subunit ribosomal RNA
Source: RNAcentral